AAACCCCCCAAUUAAUAACUUUACUUAGAAACACUCAAAGGACAAUCAAUAUGAUGUGGCCAACCAGUUUGCAUCUAAAGCAUGAGGGCUGAAUUGGCAGUUUGUAUCUGCCUCGCCUUCUUGGUAUACAACCUCGGCCAGGAUGCAUAAAAGUGGGCAUUAUGGGAGGAUUAUAAGAUUGCGCCAGGAAUGUGGGCAUUAGCCCUGUAACCCAAGCAGCUUGUGGUGGCAUUGACGAGACAGCUCAUCCAGUGACAACAAAAGGUAAUCAUGUGAAAGUUAAUCCCUUUAAAGUCGCCACAAUGUCUGAUAACGCUAAAGUGUGAUUUGAGGCAAUAUUUACGACAGCGUGGUUUACCUGUGUCGGGGUCAAAGCAUGAACUUGUUCAAAGGGCAAAAGGUGCUGACGAAAUUGGAAAACGGAACUCGAAGAGACUAGAAUCGCCAAUGAGAACUUCGCGGCUGUGAGAAGGGAAAACACCGUUAGAACUCUUAUCAUUGAAAAGUGGUUGGACAAGAGAUGUGACACAAAUACCUCAAUUCACGAACAACAGUCUUUACAAUUAUCUUGUGCUGAAUGAUUCCAGAACAUUUGACAAUAAGCCAAUUAAUGCCAAAAAACAAUUGAAAGCUUAAGUGUUUUACACGGACAGACAUCUUCAUUCUAUUGAGUUUCAUGAAAUAAACAGGACAAUUUCACAUUGCUAUUUUAGAGCAAAAGUAUUGAAAUCUCUGCCAGGAAUGUCCAAUAAAGAUAACAAAUUCGAAUACAGAGUUUGGACAUGUCUGUCUAAAAUAUCUGGUCGUGUACUUGCUGCUGGAUGUGAAUGUCAUGCUGGUGGUGGUAUUAUCAAGUGUAAUCCUUUCAGUGUCAUUAAAUCACUUAUCAGAAAGCCUUUAUGAGACAUGAUGGCAUCACUGCGCUCACAUAGGUCAAGUAUACCACAAGAUCGUGUGAUCUGCUUGUCACUUACACUACCAGCCCACAUGUCAGACACAAAAGUUAUUAAUCCAGAAGGACUUAUUCCAAGCAAGGCUUUGUAAGUCAUAAUAUUAUGCGAUUUGUAGUGUUAAUACAUUAAUGACUUGUUUAUUAAAGAUUGGGGUGUCUCGGUAAAAAAAUCUGGACAGUCAAUAAUAACGCGGGUACUUUGAUAUGCUGACUGAAAUUUCCUCGGCAUGGUAUUUUGGAUCACUGAUUUGGUAGGCAAGUUCAACAAGAAAUCAAGUUUCACAGACAGAUAGUCUGUCCACUUGUUUAUGAUCACUGAACAUGUUGAUUUUGAGAUGUGGAAGCAUGUUGCUCUUAGACAAAUAGACCAGUACGAAGUGACAUCUGACCGUCCACAAAAUGUGCUGAACAUAGCCUCACAUUGUUGUUGAAGGUGAAUUUCUUCAAUCAGUUUUUACACGUUUUAUCCAUGUUCGUCUCAAAUUAAUGUUCGCUGGAAAUCUGUGUAACACAAUUCUUUGUCCAUUAAUUAACCACUUUCCCAUGGAAAUUUGAACAAACACAACAGUCAUGCCUUUUUUUCUGCGUUGAUUUGAUAAUACUAAUAGGAGUCACCAUGUUUUUUGCAGCUGAUUUGCUCACCGGAAAUGAAGCAUUGCACCAGUUUUAUCUUUUAUGUGAAGAUCUCUCUAAAGGGGCCUAACUGAAAUCUGUACUUCCUGAACUGGGCUAUACUUAUGGACAAUACCAAUAACAUAUACAGGACUGCUUCUCCAUUUUAACCCUUUACCACACAGGACAGUAGCCAAAGUAACCUCCUUUACAUAACACUGUUAUGUGAUAAUCUAUAAUCAAUAUAUGGCUGAUAAGCGUGACUGUCUUAUCUGAACAGAAGUGUUGGCAUUAUUUUGUGAUUACACACACUUAUGUUUAAAAUAUCAUUAUUUUAAUAUUUUCUGUAAGUUUUGACAUUAUUUUGUCAAUAUAAAGUUUAUAGCAAUUUAAAUUCUCUUUCUGAUGAUAAAAAAUUCAUUGUAGUUUCUCUUCGAAUUUCGAAGAUAAAAAGUGUUAAAGUACGGGAAAUAUAUUUUUAGGCAUAAAAUUCUGUUUUGGAUUACUUUCACAUUGAUAUUCAUAUACAAUUUCAUUUUGAUGUUUGAAAGUUCGAUUUAGAUCUAUAGUUAAUGAACUCAUCUUCCAAAUUGGCAUCGGGAAGUAUUUAUAUAAAAAAACAUCCAUCAAACAGAAUAACACUACAUAAAUAACAGAUCGUAAAAUUUCUGAAAGUACAAAAAGAUCGCUGACAUCGAGACACGUAACCGACUACAGUAUUCUUGUGCUAAAAAUUAAAAUAUUUUUAGAUAAUAUUACGUAAUAUUUUGCUGAUCAAGCGUCGGUACAUCACGGGUGACUUCCGCUGCAAUUAACUCUUGGGAGUGUCAAAAAAUGUUUGGAAGUCGGGGUCCUUCUGUUUUGAAUAACACUUCCCAUUAUGUAAGGCCAUAAAUUCCAAGCCAUCGUAUACACAAAUUGUUGUUUAGGGGAAAUCCGCAUAUAUCACGCGUGACCUUCAUGACCUAACACAUUUAAAAAUAUUUAGAUGUUAAAUGGUUGUUAUAUUUAGAACAAGGAAAGUCCCGCGGACCGGCCAGUUACAAGUAGUUUUCACAGUAAUUUUCCAUGACGGUGAUAAACGUAUCGAUGUGGGAAAGGGUUAAAUCAGUAUUGCAGUUGUUUCUUUUUGUUUGUUUUAUUACAUAGAUUUAUUGAAAAAAAGAAAGAACAAACUUCUAAAAUACAAGCCUAUUAUACUAUAAUUUGGUUGUCUCUGACCCAGCAAGUGUCAAGAGAGAAUAAACCACUGAAGAAAGUUUAUCUCACAUUUCCUCCUACUUAUCACUCUGCAACACGUGAAACUUGUCUCUACACUGCACUCCUCUCACAGCACAGCACAGCCUCAGUGUCCAAAACUUGCUUGAAAUAAUAAAAGUUUACAAAUAUUUUAUCACCAUGUUUUCUCUUAGUCAGCCUGUACUUGUAUCGUACCAUACUGUACCAGUGUGUAUGAGUAGUAUAUUGGCUGGUUUGGACAGGUUAAUGUUGUUAACCAAAGAUUGUUAUGUUGCAUCAAGUAAGGUAACAGAGCAUGUGCCAGUUCAUGUAAAAGUGUACCAAUCACAUGCAUUUCUAAAUGAUGUUAUGGGAUGUCCAAUUUGAUAUAGAUAUUGUUAUCAUUAUGAAACUCGGUAAUAUCAUAUGCAUUUGUUAAAGAAGUACAGCCACUUAGAAGUUCAAUUUUUAUUGUUUUAACGUUUGACUUUCUUUUUGUCAAAAACGGUAGAAGAUAUUGUAAUAUACUUCUACAAAGAGCAAUGGCCCUUGAAUAAUCCACUUGUCCAGAGGCACCCUCGUUAUUUAUCUUAGUCACAUCAACAGAGCACACUUCAUUUUCAGGAAACAUCACUAAAUCACAAGCUUGUACAUGCGCUCUUACCAUCAAAUUGUCUUCUGACAUUAACAUGUGUUCUUUUGGAAUUGAUCACCAUGUUUUCUCUUAGUCAGCCUGUCCUUGCAUCGUACCAUACUGUACCAGUGUGUAAGAGUAGUAUAUGGGCCGGUUUGGCCACGUUAAUGUUGUUAACCAAAGAUUGUUAUGUUGCAUAAAGUAAGGUAACAGAGCAUGUGCCAGUUCAUGUAAAAGUGUACCAAUGACAUGCAUUUCUGAAUGGUGUUAUGGGA
Molecule: long non-coding RNA, 3691 nt
Organism: Mercenaria mercenaria
Lineage: Eukaryota; Metazoa; Mollusca; Bivalvia; Venerida; Veneridae
Exons: 4
Source: RefSeq, a predicted model, not a curated record